This 486-nucleotide ribosomal RNA is filed under the name uncultured Planctomycetota bacterium. Its description in RNAcentral is "bacterial SSU rRNA". It matches the Rfam family "Bacterial small subunit ribosomal RNA", at positions 29 to 505 of the family's 1533-position model. The record is from RNAcentral. Lineage: Bacteria; Pseudomonadati; Planctomycetota.
AACGAACGCUAGCAGCGUGGAUUAGGCAUGCAAGUCGUGCGCGAAAGUCUUCGGACGAGUAAAGCGGCGAAAGGGUGAGUAACACGUAACCAACGUACCCCUCAGAUUGGGAUAACCACUGGAAACGGUGGGUAAUACCGGAUGGUCCUACGGGUCGACAUCGACUCGAUGGUAAACGGCGGCUUCGGCUGCUGCUGAGGGAGCGGGUUGCGGCCUAUCAGCUUGUUGGUGAGGUAAUGGCUCACCAAGGCGAUGACGGGUAGCGGGUCUGAGAGGAUGGUCCGCCACACUGGGACUGAGACACUGCCCAGACUCCUACGGGAGGCUGCAGUCGAGAAUCUUCCACAAUGGACGAAAGUCUGAUGGAGCGACGCUGCGUGCAGGAUGAAGGCCUUAGGGUUGUAAACUGCUGUCACGCUAUAGGAACCGUUAGUCGUUAAUAGCGGCUAGCCUGACCAAAGCGAGAGGAAGUGCCGGCUAACUCCG